UAGGGAAUCUUCCGCAAUGGACNAAAGUCUNANGGAGCAACNCCGCGUGAGUNAUGAAGNCUUNNGGGUNGUAAAANUCUGUUGUUAGGNAAGAACAAGUACNAGAGUAACUGCUUGUACCUUGACGGUACCUAACCANAAAGCCNCGGCUAACUACGUGCCAGCAGCCGCGGUAAUACGUAGGUGGCAAGCGUUAUCCGGAAUUAUUGGGCGUAAAGCGCGCGCAGGCGGUUUNUUAAGUCAUGAUGUGAAAGCCCACGGCUCAACCGUGGAGGGUCAUUGGAAACUGGGGAACUUGAGUGCAGAAGAGAAAAGCGGAAUUCCACGUGUAGCGGUGAAAUGCGUAGAUAUGUGGAGGAACACCAGUGGCGAAGGCGGCUUUUUGGUCUGUAACUGACGCUGAGGCGCGAAAGCGUGGGGAGCAAACAGRAUUAGAUACCCUGGUAGUCCACGCCGUAAACGAUGANUGCUAAGUGUUAGAGGGUUUUCCCCUUUAGUGCUGCAGCUAACGCAUUAANCACUCCCCCUGGGGAGUACGGCCCCAAGAUUU
RNAcentral lists this ribosomal RNA (550 nucleotides) under uncultured bacterium. RNAcentral describes it as "partial 16S rRNA". It matches the Rfam family "Bacterial small subunit ribosomal RNA", at positions 355 to 896 of the family's 1533-position model. The record is from RNAcentral.